Molecule: long non-coding RNA, 525 nt
Organism: Helianthus annuus (common sunflower)
Lineage: Eukaryota; Viridiplantae; Streptophyta; Magnoliopsida; Asterales; Asteraceae
Exons: 3
Source: RefSeq, a predicted model, not a curated record
GACAAGAGUAACCUUCUCAUUAUGCUUUAUAGCUUUCUUUCUAUGUUCCAUUGUCUGCCCCAAUUACGCACAGGAGAAAAACUGGUGUAUAGCUCAAAGCCAUCUUUCAGAGUCAAAGUUGCAAGAAGUUCUUGACUAUAUGUGCGGGAUAGUCGACUGCAAGGAGAUCCAACCCGGGGAGUCAUGCUUUGAACCUGAUACUCGGCAAAAUCAUGCGUCUUAUGCUAUCGAUCUUAACUAUCGUAUAACCGGUGUUUGUGAUUUUAGUUAUGCUACUACUAUUAUAACAGAUCCUUCGCGCAGGACAUGUGUCUACCCAUAAGCUUGCUCAUCGGGGUCAAGUGUUGAAAUGAAUAAAAUUGCUAUCUGAUUUUACAAGGGAAGAAAGAUUGUAGGAUGCAAACAUAAUUUUGUUUGGACUUAUGUUUCAUGUUUGAUAUGUUCGGUGUGUUCAAGUUGAGAAUAAUAAAAGAUGUUCACAAAACAUUUGCUCUUUAAGAAUAAGAUAAGAUGUCAGUUGCACUU